UACGUAGGUGGCAAGCGUUGUCCGGAUUUAUUGGGUUUAAAGGGUGCGUAGGCGGCCUUGUAAGUCAGCGGUGAAAACUAACAGCUUAACUGUUAGACUGCCAUUGAUACUGCAGGGCUUGAAUCCAAACGAGGUUGGCGGAAUUGAAGGUGUAGCGGUGAAAUGCAUAGAUAUCUUCAAGAACACCGAUAGCGAAGGCAGCUAACUAGAAUGGUAUUGACGCUGAGGCACGAAAGCGUGGGGAGCAAACAGG
This 253-nucleotide ribosomal RNA is filed under the name uncultured prokaryote. RNAcentral describes it as "partial 16S ribosomal RNA". It matches the Rfam family "Bacterial small subunit ribosomal RNA", at positions 524 to 776 of the family's 1533-position model. The record is from RNAcentral.